GGCUCAGGAUGAACGCUAGCGACAGGCCUAACACAUGCAAGUCGAGGGGCAGCAUGGUCUUAGCUUGCUAAGGCCGAUGGCGACCGGCGCACGGGUGAGUAACGCGUAUCCAACCUGCCUUACACUCUUGGACAGCCUUCUGAAAGGGAGAUUAAUACAAGAUGUUAUCAUGAGUAAGCAUUUUCGCAUGAUUAAAGGUUUACCGGUGUAAGAUGGGGAUGCGUUCCAUUAGAUAGUAGGCGGGGUAACGGCCCACCUAGUCUUCGAUGGAUAGGGGGUUCUGAGAGGAAGGUCCCCCACAUUGGAACUGAGACACGGUCCAAACUCCUACGGGAGGCAGCAGUGAGGAAUAUUGGUCAAUGGGCGAGAGCCUGAACCAGCCAAGUAGCGUGAAGGAUGACUGCCCUAUGGGUUGUAAACUUCUUUAUAAAGGAAUAAAGUCGGGUAUGGAUACCCGUUUGCAUGUACUUUAUGAAUAAGGAUCGGCUAACUCCGUG
RNAcentral lists this ribosomal RNA (497 nucleotides) under uncultured bacterium. Its description in RNAcentral is "bacterial SSU rRNA". It matches the Rfam family "Bacterial small subunit ribosomal RNA", at positions 21 to 507 of the family's 1533-position model. The record is from RNAcentral.